Molecule: ribosomal RNA, 483 nt
Filed under: uncultured bacterium
Lineage: Bacteria
Description: partial 16S ribosomal RNA
Rfam family: Bacterial small subunit ribosomal RNA
Source: RNAcentral
GACGAACGCUGGCGGCGUGCUUAACACAUGCAAGUCGAACGAUGAAGCCGGAGCUUGCUCUGGUGAAUUAGUGGCGAACGGGUGAGUAACACGUGACUAACCUGCCCCUUUCUCUGGGAUAACGCUCCGAAAGGAGUGCUAAUACCGGAUACGAACUCUGAACAGAUGUUCGGAGUUGGAAAGUUCUUCGGAAAGGGAUGGAGUCGCGGCCAAUCAGCUUGUUGGUGAGGUAAUGGCUCACCAAGGCGACGACGGGUAGCCGGCCUGAGAGGGCGACCGGCCACACUGGGACUGAGACACGGCCCAGACUCCUACGGGAGGCGGCAGUGGGGAAUAUUGCACAAUGGGCGAAAGCCUGAUGCAGCGAUGCCGCGUGAGGGAUGAAGGUCUUCGGAUUGUAAACCUCUUUCAGUAGGGACGAAGCGAAAGUGACGGUACCUAAAGAAGAAGCACCGGCUAACUACGUGCCAGCCGCCGCCGUAA